RNAcentral lists this long non-coding RNA (7701 nucleotides) under Sus scrofa (pig). Its description in RNAcentral is "lncRNA (ENSSSCG00015045712.1)". Lineage: Eukaryota; Metazoa; Chordata; Mammalia; Artiodactyla; Suidae. The record is from RNAcentral.
UGUACGGCAAAGUGAUUCAGUUAGACGUAUGUAUAUUCUUUUUCAUAUUCCUUUCCAUCAUAGUUUAUUACAGGAUAUCAAAUGCAGUUCUCUGUGAUAUACACAAGGGCUUUUUUGUUUAUCCACUCUCUAUGUAAUAGUUUGCAUUUGAUAAUCCCAAACUCCUAAUCCAUCCCUCUCCCGCAACUCUUGGCAACUACGAGUCUGUUCUCUAUGUCUGUGUGUUUGUUUCAUAGUUAAGUUCAUUUGUGUCAUAUUUAUAUUCCACAUAUAAUUGAUGUCAUAUGGCAUUUGCCUUUCUCUUUCUGACUUAACUUCACUUAGUAGGGUCAUCUCUAGGUGCAUCCAUGUUGCUACAAAUGGCGUUAUGUCAUUCAUUUUAUGGCUGAGCAGUAUUCCAUUUUACACACACACACCUCUUUAUCCAUUCAUCCAUCAAUGGACAUUUAUGUUGCUGGGGCUUCUUGGCUAUUGUAAAUAAUGCUGCAACAAACACUGGGGUGCAUGUACCUUUUUGAAUUACGGUUUUCUGUAAUAUAUCCCCACGAGUGGGAUUGCUGGAUCUCGGCGGGCCUGCCCCAUCACUCCCCCACCACAGAGUCUUGACUGUCUGAGACCACAGCAGGCUGUUGGGAGCUCCCAAGUCCCCAGCACACAGUUGGGGGUUUUCUUGUGCUCCUUGCCUGAGCAUCUCGAGUGCCGGGGCUGAGCCUCUGGGCCCUGGGGCACCCAGUCAUCCAUGACAGCUUCCUGGAGGCCUUGGGGCCAUGUCCAGGCCUGGCCCUCCUCCCUCGGGUUGCUUGGGGGCCCUCAGCCUUUGCAGACUAUCCACCUUAUGUGCAGACCCUGCUGUUCUCCGCGACUUCUCCCCACCAGGCCCUUGCUAGCAUCAGGGCAGACAGCUUCUCGGGAGGCCCGACCUCGGAUGCACACCCUGGCACAGCCCCAGACCCCCACCCAAGAACCGUAUGGUUUCCAUCAAAAUUGAAACCAGCGGGAUCUUCCCCAGCAGGAUCCCUGGAUAGGAGAGUUCUCGUGGCUUAUCUUCCAGCCCGGCAGCACGCUCCUUCUCAGCAUCCUCUAGCUUGAUUAACUAUCUGCAACAUUAAUUAUUACAAUUUAUUAAAUCUGGAGAAAUAAAAUCUCACAGUGCCCCCCCUCGCCACCACCCCUCUUCUCCACCAAAAUGGAGUAUCUUAUUUUGCUAACUGCUUAAACAUAAAACACCACCAGAAAAAAAUUGUCCCCACGGCUCAUAUUUUUCAUCAUUUGGUCAUUAAAUAGUGAUGGAUAUAAACCUAUAAAGAACCUAAACUGAACCUUUUAACAAUCCAUGAGCAAUACUAUCAUUUCUUUAAUAGAAUCUGCUGACCGUGCCUUGCACAGACACCAUUUGUCACUUUCAGCACGCAAUAAUCAAUAAGUCGGCUUGAAAAUAAAUAAUAUAACAGUCACAAUAUAUUAUCUUUCAGACUGGCCUUAUACUAACCAUAAAACGGGACCAAAACAAGAGGGAAACUUUUACAUAAAUGUUAACAAGUUCAGAGCAUCACAGUUGGGCCGGAUGCAUGAAUUAGCCUGGUGCCACGUCUCCCUCCCUAAUUUGCUUUAAGUUCUUUCGAGCUGGACCUUUGCUGCUGCCACUGCUGAGGCCAGGCAGUGGGGUUGUGAUCAGCGGAGUGUGUGGUGGCCCGAUGUGACAGAGUUCCUUCAUGGCCUCUAUUGCAUGGGUGCAGACAUCCUGAGGUUCAUGCCAGGGACGGAGUCAUAGCUUCAGAGAAAAAAGGCCGCUUGGGUCACAGACCCAAGGCCAGGCCUGGAAGGCAGUUUGCUCAGAUCCAAGAGGGGGGCGUCACAGCCCAUAUUCAACUUCAGGGAUUUGUGUUCUGUGGGAGAGAAAUGCCACAAAGAAUCCAGGCCACCAGGUGGCCUUGAUGGAGAGCAGGUUCUGGAAGCAGCAAAGCAGCGGCCAGGUCACUGUAAUCUUCCCAGAUGAGAAGCCCCUUGCGGUCCCCCCACUGCUCACCUUGUCUAGUUGGCCACACCCCGUGCUGCUCUUCAACAGCAUUGGAGAGCCAUCAGCCCAGGUCCCACUUGUUCAUUCCACUACUUAUUCAUCAACAAAAUGGUACUGGAGUUCCCACUGCGGCUCAGUGAGUUAAGAACCCAACAGUGUCCAUGCUGAUGUGGGUUCGAUCCCUGGCUUCACAGUGGGUUAAGGAUCUGGCAUGGCUGCAAGCUGCAGUGUAGGUUAAAGAUGUGGCUCAGAUCCGGCGUUGCUGUGACUGCGGCUUAGGCCAGUGGCUGCAACUCGGAUUUGACCCCUAGCCCGGGAACUUCCACAUGCUGCAGAUGCGGCUGUGAAAAGAAAACAAACAAACAAAACCCAAAAUGGUCCUGAGGACCUACUUAAGUGCCAAGCCCUGUUCUAGGGGCCGGAGGUACAACAGUGGAACAAACAGACAAAAAUCCCUACCUCCUGGAGCUUACCUGCUUGUCGGGGCAAUAAAACUGACCCCCUGUCAGGAGGGUGGUCACUGCUGGGGAGGACCAUACAGCAGGGGGAGGGGACAAGUUCAAGUUUAGACCGAAUCUCUGCUGAUGCCCAGGUGCCCCGUCCAAUCUCAGUCCUGCCUUUGCGACCCAGCUUCCCUGGUAACCAGUCUCCCUAGGGCGCCUAAUGACACCCUACUUGGGUCAGAGCCAGGCUGCCAGAUACCAGCCUGCAGGAGAAGCCCCACCUCCUGAGAGGCCAGAGCACCGUCCCCGCUUCAUAGGAGCCCAAGGCUCAGAGGCAGCAAGUCACUGGUGAUUCUUGGAGUUCCUGCUGUAGCACAACAGGACGGCCGGUCUCUUGGGAGCCCUGGGACGCAGGUUCAAUCCCCAGCCCAGUACAGUGGGUUAAAGAUCCAGCAUUGCUGCAGCCAUGGCUUCGUCGCAACUGCAGCUCAGAUCUGAUCCCUGGCCCGGGAACUCCACAUGCUCCUGGGAGGCACAAACAACAACAAUAACAACAACAACAACGACAACAACAAUUCUAGUGACUAGGCUGGCAAAGCCAAACUUAGGUGACUUGGGUUUAUUUUCACAGAAUUUGGAAUCAAACAGACCUAGGAUCCAAUUCCAGCCCGGUCACUCAGUCGCUGGGUGACCUCAGUCAAGCUGCUUACCCUCUCUGAGCCUCCAUUUCCUCAUCCCAAAGAGGAAGUGAACAUGCACAUUGCGGCAGGAACUUUGUGAGGCUCUGACAGCACGCAGAUGCCACAGCCCAUGGCAGCUGUUCCACUGGAGGCAGUGUCUUAAUACAUAGAGUGCUUUAUCCCAGGAGCUAAUGACAAGAGCUCCUUCUGCUCCUAGCGGCGGUGUGGAGGCAGGAGCCAGUGGUGCCACAUUCAUCAUGAAUCGGCUGGCCGUGUGGAGCCAAAAAUACUCUCCGUGGGUAGCGUCCCUGUGACUGAUAUUAAAAAUGACUGAUUUAAGAGAAAGUGCUUCACCCCUGUUGCAAACUAAGAAGGUAGGGCUGGAGUAUUCUCAGCCUUAAAUGCUGCCAGUAUUUCAUCUGUGGGCAGUCAUAAAGGUAAAGGUUAAUAGGCUGUGCAAAUGACAGAGUUUAAAGGGAAAAAUGGGGAGGGGCUGAGGUGCUCUCGGCGGCCCAGGGCGACAGGAGACAGGUGGAAGCUCACCUGCAGGGAGGAAAUAUGGGGGUGGGCCCGGCCGUGCCCCCAUCUCAGGCCCUUGGCCCCUCCUCCCAUCUGUUCCCAUAGGGAAAUCCCUUAACCCAAGAGCUCUUUCCCCAGAGGGGACCUUCUUUCCUGGUGGCCCCCCGAGGACACGUGGCCUUGGUGAGACUGCGGCUGGGAAGGGUUGUGAAAGGCAAAGCUGAAUUCAGGGUCCUGAGAAAGAGGCUCUGGGCGGCCUAGGAAGGAGGCAGCAGGCUCAGAUGCAAGUGCACUGCGCCCCGUUCUCCGGUGGCCGUGACCCUGGGGGAAGAGCCGAGGUUCUCAAGUUCGGGAGCACAGCAGAAUCACUGGGGAGCUUGUUGUUCCCGUGCAGAUUCUUAGGCUCCAGCUCAGAUGGCAGGGGUGCCUGGGAAUGUGGGGUGUUUUUUGGUUUUUGGUUUUUUUGUCUUUUUAGAGCCACACCCGCAACAUACAAAAGGUCCCAGGCUAGGGCCUGAAUUGGAGCUGCAGCUGCUGGCCUAUACCACAGCCACAGCAAUGCCAGAUCCGAGCCACAUCUGUGACCUAUACCGCAGCUCCCAGCAAUUCCAGAUCCUUAACCCGCUGAGUGAGGCCAGGGAGUGAACCUGCCUCCUCUUGGAUACUAGUUGCGUUUGUAACCCCCGUGAACCACAGUGGGAACUCCAGGAAUCUGUGUUUUAACAAAUUCCCGCCCAUCUCCACAGGGGACUCUAAGGCGACCUAUAGGCCACUUUGAGAAACCCUCAAUCCGUGAAUGCAUGAGAGUCAAGUUCUAGAUCCAAAUUCCUGGACCCGGUGAUGACAGGGCUUUAGGGACUAUCAAGCCACAAGUGGCACCCAGAUCAACCGGACACCUGCUGAAACUCAGACCUCAGGGGCUUCAUCUGCUGAACAGCCUCGAUGAUGCUGUGUGGCUCCUAUCAUGUUACCCAUGGGGAAGUGGAGCCACAGCCCACCAGUGCCAUGUCCAAGGUCAACCCCGAAUGGCAGAGCUGGUCCUUGCUACCACAGGCCUCUUCUUCCCACCGGCAGGGGCCAGGCUUGCUUCAGCCAUCGCCGGCUCAGAAACUUGGCUCACCAAUUUCUGCUUUCCACACGUACGUGGCCAGCUCUGUCCUGGGCUCAGUCUGGGGGCUGACAAGCAAAGGGUAUGAAUCAAAAUGUCCUGGCUAGUGGGGCACACAGAGGGCUCCCUGGAAUUCACUGUUUACCCCCAAUCUGAGGUUUUGGACAGAACGGGAACCAAGCUGCCUGCAAACACACACUGAUACUGGGAGGGAAAAAAUGUUAAAUGCAAUUACGCAGAGUCCCUCUGUGCCUGUCCCCUCUGAUAGAGGACUUUUAAACUGAGUUUCUCCAAAUGCACCAAAAAUAUCUUCUCUCUGUAAGGAAUUUAACCGAUUACAAAACACACUCACUGCUGUAUCUCCGUAGAUCCUUACAAAAACUGGGGACAGUUUCACCUUCACACAAAGAAUCCGAGGCCCAGAAAGGCCAAGAGUCUUGUCCAAGGUCACUGUGUGGGUAACAUGAUGGCUCCCAAAGCUGUGCAGAUCCUGAUUCCCGAGCCUGGGACUACGUUUCCUUCACGGCGAAAGGAACUCUGCCGUCGUGAUGAAAUUAAGGUUUUUGAGAUGGAGAGAGGGUCCUGGAUGAUCCUCGGGAUGACAAGUGUCCCUGCAGGAGUAAGAGGGAGGCAGCAGCCCUUCACUGCUGGCUUUGACGUUGGAGGAAAGGGACCAUGAGGCCAGGAAGGUGGGAAGCGUCUAGAAGCUGGAAAAGGCAAAGAACCUAUUCUCCCUUAGAGCUGCCAGAAGGAAGUCAGCCCCGAAGACACCUUGAUUUUAUCCCAGUGUGUCUCGUUUUGGACUUCUGAAUAGGGCAGAGCGGCAAGAUAACAAGGUUGUGUUGUUUUAAGCCACUAAAGUUGUGGGACUUUGUAAGAGCAGCAACAGGAAACUGAGGCCAUCACCCAGAAAGAAAAGAGUGGAAUUGAACCAAAGUCGCUGGCCUGGUCCAGGACGCCUCCCCUGCAGAGGCCAGCUGGGACGUACAGACACAGGCGAAGGGAAACCCAGUGAUCUCAGCUACUCUCCCCUUUGGGAGAAGCGAUAACAGCAACGCGAUGGUAAAUGACUCCAACUCCAGCUGAAGCCUAAGCAGGGAGCUGUCAUGUCCCCUCCCUUCCUGUCCUGAGCCCUGACCUGAGCUCCCUGCCCCACUACCUGGCCUCCACCUGCCCAUGGCUCCUGGAGGAGGCUCACCCUUGCCCACACCCCAGAGGUACUGGUUCUCCCCUCCUUGCCCACGGCCAGCUGAUGGGGAUCCGUGCUGUGCAGAAAUCCAGAAGCAUCUGCAGCUUGUCCAGUUCCUGUCUCCUUCCGGACAGAGGCAGUGAAAGCCUUGGGCCCUUCUGGGGUCUGGGGCCUUGGCUGUGCACCACCGCCCACCCCACACCAACACCCGCCCAGCCAGGCCUCCGCCUCCUGCCUGGCCAGUCCUGGAAAGGAACUUUUCUUGCGAUCAAUCUUGCCACCGUCUCCAUGAAUUUUAAAUAAUAGCAGCUUUGCUCUUUCUUGCUCGCUCUCUGGGUGCGUCAGACUGCAGCUUUUACAAGAUCAUAUUUCUUCACAUUUUCAUACAAUUAUUUUAAAUGGACAAGAUAAUGUUGAAAUUCUUAUUUAAAAUGUAUGCAGGUAGAGAAUGAGCCUUCCUGCUUUUUAUAUUUAACACCAGAUGGAGCAAUAGAAGGGAAUUUUAACAACAGAAUUGAAGUGGAAGUGUCUUCAGCGUUCAUGAUGAACUACAGUUUUAAGCAGCUGGUUUUCUUUGAUGAAUAAAUAAUUGCGCCCAAAAUAGAUAGUUUGGCCAUUAUUAAUCUCAUUUUAGACGGUGCACAUUUUAUUGAUUCUUAAGUACAAGAAUUUUGCAGUUUUCACCAAAGGGUGACUUUUCUAAUUAAAAUGUAAGUUAGAGGGAAAAAAGUUCCAGCUGUCUGGUCAGAGGCAGGGGAGGAAGAGGGCCUGAUUCCUUCUGGAAUGAACCCUUUCCAGACUCAUGACCCCCCAGAGAUGUUUCAUGCAGCCAGCCCAUCUCCAGAGGAGCCAAUGAAACUAGCAGAACCCCAGCCAAAAGGCAGCAGCGAGACAGCUCAACCCAGGGAACCAGCAUCUCUUAAAUGGUUUCUACCUAUGUGACCCCGGAAAACAGAGAUGUUUGCCUUUCUGCUCUCUCUAACCCCACAUCUCCUAGGGGUAGCUCUUGCAUAAAUCUUGAGGCAAUUAGGUUUUCUUUUGUUAAAUGUUUAUCAGGAUCUUAUAAACAGAGAACAUGAUAAAGAAGGCAAUUCAAUAAUCUGAUGGCAUAGAUAACACAUAGUGGCCAUUUUAAAAUAAAGGGGGUGGGUAUACUCAGAAAGUGCAAGAAUAAGAGAAAAAGAGUAGCAAAUAUUUAUAAAACACUCAUGUGGUUCUCAGAGUGCAAAAACUGUGCAAGGCAGACACGCCUUUAUCCCGGCUGCUGCAUAAGGAAACGGAUGCUCUGGGGAGUGAGCACCAUGGCUCCGGCUCCCCAGGUAAGAAGGGGCAAAACCCCAUCUCCAGUGUCUGUUGGUAUAAUCGUUAUGUUCUACUGCCUCUUAAAUGAAAGAGUAUGAAAAAAAAAAAAAAAGCCAUCCGCUCCCCAACCCUUCCCACAAAAGGAAUCAUUGUCAACAGUCUCUAGUAAUUUCUUCCAGAAAAAAUUAUGUUUGUAACUGCUUCACCUUCUGCUUAAAAAGGUCAAAGAGGUGGAGCCAGGUGUUCCUAUUGUGGCUCAGUAGUUAACGAACCUGACUAGUAUCCAUGAGGACUCAGGUUCGAUCCUUGGCCUCGCUCAGUGGUUUAAGGAUACUGCAUUGCUGUGGCUGUGGUGUAGGCGGGCAGAAACAGCUCUGAUUCGACCCCUAGCCUGCGAACCUCCGUAUGCUGCAGGUGCAGCCCUAAAAAGAAAAAAAAAAAAA